GUGGGGAAUAUUGGACAAUGGGCGGAAGCCUGAUCCAGCCAUGCCGCGUGUGUGAAGAAGGCCUUUUGGUUGUAAAGCACUUUAAGCGAGGAGGAGGCUCUUAAGGUUAAUACCCUUGAUGAGUGGACGUUACUCGCAGAAUAAGCACCGGCUAACUCUGUGCCAGCAGCCGCGGUAAUACAGAGGGUGCGAGCGUUAAUCGGAUUUACUGGGCGUAAAGCGCGCGUAGGUGGCCAAUUAAGUCAAAUGUGAAAUCCCCGAGCUUAACUUGGGAAUUGCAUUCGAUACUGGUUGGCUAGAGUAUGGGAGAGGAUGGUAGAAUUCCAGGUGUAGCGGUGAAAUGCGUAGAGAUCUGGAGGAAUACCGAUGGCGAAGGCAGCCAUCUGGCCUAAUACUGACACUGAGGUGCGAAAGCAUGGGGAGCAAACAGGAUUAGAAACCCUUGUAGUCC
This 451-nucleotide ribosomal RNA is filed under the name uncultured bacterium. RNAcentral describes it as "bacterial SSU rRNA". It matches the Rfam family "Bacterial small subunit ribosomal RNA", at positions 354 to 796 of the family's 1533-position model. The record is from RNAcentral.